Molecule: non-coding RNA, 59 nt
Organism: Bifidobacterium thermophilum RBL67
Lineage: Bacteria; Bacillati; Actinomycetota; Actinomycetes; Bifidobacteriales; Bifidobacteriaceae
Source: Rfam
CACCAAACCCUCUCACUACGGAUCGUGAGGCACGUACCUGCCUCUGAAAGGAUGACAUU